This is a long non-coding RNA of Junco hyemalis (dark-eyed junco), 1607 nucleotides long. Lineage: Eukaryota; Metazoa; Chordata; Aves; Passeriformes; Passerellidae. The record is from Ensembl.
GGCCGCCCUUGGAAAUGCCCCAGAGCUCACUUCCUAUUCCUGGAAGGAGGUAUAAUUGCAGUGAGUGGUUUGGUGGCAUUUUGAAACUCUCCCACAGGCAUCCAGGGGAGUUAUGCUGCAUUUGGGCUGGGCUGGUUUCGUACAAAAUGUGGGCAGGAUGUGCAAUGAUGGAGUGACUCUGAGAGUCAGACAGAAGGGAGGGAAGAAAGAAGUGGAUAAAUCCCAGGUCCCAGUUUCCUGCAUGUCCAAGAAGUCUGACCUGUUGCAACUUGCCUCUCCAUGGAAAUCUCAGGUUCCUGCAAGCAUUUGUGGUCAGACCUAUCUGCUGGUCCCAGAGGUACCUGCCCAUCACCAGAGAUGUGUGGGAAGCAUAAACAGGACAAGGGCAGGGGAAUGUGUGUUUGGAGAGGUGAAAGGCCAGGCAGAAAACACAAGUGCCUUGCUCCUGGGAAAGGCAAUAGAGAGCAAGUUGCAGAAGUCCUGUGUUGUGCACCUCACCCUUCCCUCCAAAACAGAUGGGAGCCAGCUGACAGAAAUCCUCUGCUUCUUUCUGGAACACAUGCAGCUUGGUUGGCAGGAAAAGACUGAAAAAUAUCAUUGCAAUUAGUGUGGAGAAACUUGAAGCUACAACACCAUCAGCAAUUCUGCAGAAUGAAGCAUAACAGUGCAAAAAGACUAAGUGAUGCUGUGCAAGCCAUAUGGGUGGGUUUUUUCAGGGAAUGCUGGCUAAUUUUUAAUAGAUCAGCUGGAUGGGCAAAUUCCUGAGUUUUUAUGGCAGGGAAUGGAAUGAAAGCAAGUCUGUUGGAUGGACAUCUCUGGUGUUUCAGAAGGUGGAUAUGAGAACCUCUGAGGGUUUAAUAUUGCUGGAAAAAACUCUUUAAUGGCAAUCUGCCUGAGCUGGGGUUACAGAAUCUCAGUCAAAUUCAGGAGCAGAGGAAUGAGAUCAAUACAGAGCAGAGUACCAAUUAACAGCCCAGGUUUUCAAGAGCAUCCUUCAUUUAUCCUCUAAAAUUUCCUUUGUCUCUGUCACAGCCCUGUAGAGAGCACUGAAAUUUCCCUUCUAAGUUAUGAAGCAGAUUGCAGCAAGCUGGAGAAGUGACACCGUAUACAUUAGAAAUCAGUGUUAAUCAUACAUAGAAAAACAACUUCCAAGUUUAAAUAUGUAUAUAGUUCCUUGCCUUAGAUCAGAGACUUACUUGAGAAACAAACAUGAUUUGUUAAGUAAAUGCUUUUUUAAUUCUCCUCAGAGAUAUGUUUUCUUAAAAUAUAGUGUAUAUAAUGCAGUCACAUUAGGGAAAAUACAAACUACAUUGAAUAGGCUUAGAUCAGUAUUUUCCUCUGAGAGCCAGACAGUUUCCCCUCCCCCCUAGCAUCCCAGCAAACACUGAAAAGCAACUCAGGCUGGACUUCGAAUUUCACAAUUUCGAUUUGUUGGGUUCAGCUGGUUCCCUUUUCAGGGCAGGUCUCUACCGAGAACCAGCCAGGGUGGGUUUUAACCCUUAUCUCCCUUCCUUCCAUUUUUAUGAAAUUGUGCUUUUGCUGCCUGUGAGGAGCAGUGGCAAAACGCUUCAAGCCCCCGAGUGGAGCUGUCAGUGAGCAGCCCAGAG